This 1406-nucleotide ribosomal RNA is filed under the name Cenchrus americanus (pearl millet). Its description in RNAcentral is "bacterial LSU rRNA". It matches the Rfam family "Bacterial large subunit ribosomal RNA", at positions 1451 to 2879 of the family's 2925-position model. The record is from RNAcentral. Lineage: Eukaryota; Viridiplantae; Streptophyta; Magnoliopsida; Poales; Poaceae.
UAACUGCGAUGUGGGGACGGAGUAGUGACACUGCCGCGAUCGUGACGGAAUAGAUCGUUGAAGGCUGUAGGUAUAUCGAACACAGGCAAAUCCGUGAUCGAUGCUGAACGCUGAUAGUACCAAGGACCUUCGGGCGAUUGGAUAGUGCAGGUAAUCAGACUUCCAAGAAAAACCGCUAAGCUCCAGGUUAUAAAAACCCGUACCGCAAACCGACACAGGUAUCCGGGAAGAGGAUUCUAAGGUGCUCGAGUGAAUCAUGGCUAAGGAACUCGGCAAAAUGGCCCUGUAACUUCGGGAGAAGGGGCGCUGACAGCGAUGUCAGCCGCAGUGAAAAGGCCCAGGCGACUGUUUAACAAAAACACAUGGCUUUGCAAAAUCGAAAGAUGAGGUAUAAGGCCUGACACCUGCCCGGUGCUGGAAGGUUAAGAGGGGAUGUCAUCGCAAGAGAAGCAUUGAAUCGAAGCCCCAGUAAACGGCGGCCGUAACCAUAACGGUCCUAAGGUAGCGAAAUUCCUUGUCGGGUAAGUUCCGACCUGCACGAAUGGUGUAACGAUCUGGGCGCUGUCUCAGCCAUGAGCUCGGUGAAAUUGUGGUCCCGGUGAAGACGCCGGGUACCCGCAACGGGACGGAAAGACCCCAUGCACCUUCACUACAAUUUAACAUUGACAUUGGGUACAGGAUGUGUAGGAUAGGUGGGAGGCUAUGAAUCGGUGUCGCCAGGCAUCGUGGAGCCAACGUUGAAAUACCACCCUUUCUGUAUUCGGUGUCUAAUCCCAUAAAUUGGGAGACAUUGUUUGAUGGGUAGUUUGACUGGGGUGGUCGCCUCCAAAAAGGUAACGGAGGCUUUCAAAGGUAAGCUCAGUACGCUUGGUAACCGUACGUGGAGUGCAAUAGCAUAAGCUUGCUUGACUGUGAGACAUACAGGUCGAUCAGGGUCGAAAGACGGAUAUAGUGAUCCGGUGGUUCUGCAUGGAAGGGCCAUCGCUCAAAGGAUAAAAGGUACGCUGGGGAUAACAGGCUGAUCUCCCCCCAAGAGCUCAUAUCGACGGGGAGGUUUGGCACCUCGAUGUCGGCUCGUCACAUCCUGGGGCUGGAGAAGGUCCCAAGGGUUCGGCUGUUCGCCGAUUAAAGUGGCACGCGAGCUGGGUUCAGAACGUCGCGAGACAGUUCGGUCCCUAUCUGUUGUGGGCGUAGGAAUUUUGAGUGGGGCUGACCUUAGUACGAGAGGACCGGGUUGGACCAGCCUCUAGUGAAUCUGUUGUUCCGCCAGGGGCAUUGCAGAGUAGCUACGCUGGGAAUAGAUAAGCGCUGAAAGCAUCUAAGUGCGAAACUAGCCACGAGAUGAGAAUUCCAUAUAGGACCGUAGCAGACUACGUACGUUGAUAGGCUACAGAUGUAAAGCUGGC